This 497-nucleotide ribosomal RNA is filed under the name uncultured bacterium. RNAcentral describes it as "partial 16S ribosomal RNA". It matches the Rfam family "Bacterial small subunit ribosomal RNA", at positions 28 to 507 of the family's 1533-position model. The record is from RNAcentral.
GAUGAACGCUGGCGGCGUGCCUAAUACAUGCCAGUCGAGCGAACGGACGAGAAGCUUGCUCCUCUGAUGUUAGCGGCGGACGGGUGAGUAACACGUGGAUAACCUACCUAUAAGACUGGGAUAACUUCGGGAAACCGGAGCUAAUACCGGAUAAUAUUUUGAACCGCAUGGUUCAAAAGUGAAAGACGGUCUUGCUGUCACUUAUAGAUGGAUCCGCGCUGCAUUAGCUAGUUGGUAAGGUAACGGCUUACCAAGGCAACGAUGCGUAGCCGACCUGAGAGGGUGAUCGGCCACACUGGAACUGAGACACGGUCCAGACUCCUACGGGAGGCAGCAGUAGGGAAUCUUCCGCAAUGGGCGAAAGCCUGACGGAGCAACGCCGCGUGAGUGAUGAAGGUCUUCGGAUCGUAAAACUCUGUUAUUAGGGAAGAACAUAUGUGUAAGUAACUGUGCACGUCUUGACGGUACCUAAUCAGAAAGCCACGGCUAACUACGUG